CCUACGGGUGGCUGCAGUGGGGAAUAUUGGACAAUGGGGGGAACCCUGAUCCAGCCAUGCCGCGUGUGUGAAGAAGGCCCUCGGGUUGUAAAGCACUUUCAGUGAGGAAGAACGCCUGGUGGUUAAUACCCAUCAGGAAAGACAUCACUCACAGAAGAAGCACCGGCUAACUCCGUGCCAGCAGCCGCGGUAAUACGGAGGGUGCGAGCGUUAAUCGGAAUUACUGGGCGUAAAGCGCGCGUAGGUGGCUUGAUAAGCCGGUUGUGAAAGCCCCGGGCUCGACCUGGGAACGGCAUCCGGAACUGUCAAGCUAGAGUGCAGGAGAGGAAGGUAGAAUUCCCGGUGUAGCGGUGAAAUGCGUAGAGAUCGGGAGGAAUACCAGUGGCGAAGGCGGCCUUCUGGACUGACACUGACACUGAGGUGCGAAAGCGUGGGUAGCAAACAGGAUUAGAUACCCCAGUAGUC
RNAcentral lists this ribosomal RNA (465 nucleotides) under Vreelandella stevensii. RNAcentral describes it as "partial 16S ribosomal RNA". It matches the Rfam family "Bacterial small subunit ribosomal RNA", at positions 338 to 795 of the family's 1533-position model. Lineage: Bacteria; Pseudomonadati; Pseudomonadota; Gammaproteobacteria; Oceanospirillales; Halomonadaceae. The record is from RNAcentral.